GGGGACGUAGCUCAGCCUGGGAGAGCACUAGACUGAAGAUGCUCAGACUGACUGGUUUAGAUCUGAUGAGGCCUUGGCCAAUGAUUAUCAGAGAUCUAGGUGAGUGAUGCAAGUAGACGUGCAUCGCCCUCAAUCAGGGGUUCAAAUCCCCUCGUUCCCA
This 160-nucleotide transfer RNA is filed under the name Candidatus Woesearchaeota archaeon. Its description in RNAcentral is "tRNA-Phe". It matches the Rfam family "tRNA". From Rfam's summary of the family: Transfer RNA (tRNA) molecules are approximately 80 nucleotides in length. The record is from RNAcentral. Lineage: Archaea; Nanobdellati; Candidatus Woesearchaeota.